AGAGUUCUUCGUACGCCUCACCCGGGGUUGGGUGUGGAUAGCAGGGCCACCCAUAGAUGAUUAGUGUUUCAGCUUAUGUCCCCUUAUGGUUGUUAGUAUAGUAGUUACGGUUUGUUAUUAUUGCAUGCGACUGUAUUUAUGUUUCUUAUGUUUACAUAAUUAUUUACGUUAUUUCUGCGGGAUUUACUAAUGCUUUANN
This 199-nucleotide long non-coding RNA is filed under the name Nicotiana benthamiana. RNAcentral describes it as "long non-coding RNA (NBEN_LNC007151)". The record is from RNAcentral. Lineage: Eukaryota; Viridiplantae; Streptophyta; Magnoliopsida; Solanales; Solanaceae.